This 405-nucleotide ribosomal RNA is filed under the name uncultured bacterium. RNAcentral's name for it is "partial 16S ribosomal RNA". It matches the Rfam family "Bacterial small subunit ribosomal RNA", at positions 30 to 526 of the family's 1533-position model. The record is from RNAcentral.
AUUGAACGCUGGCGGCAGGCUUAACACAUGCACGUCGAACGAGUGGCGGACGGGUGAGUAAUGCUUGGGAAUCUAGCUUAUGGAGGGGGCUACCUACGGGAAACUGUAGCUAAUACCGCUUACCAUAGGAUGCGCCCACGUGGGAUUAGGUAUUUGGUGAGGUAAAGGCUCACCAAGCCGACGAUGUCUAGCUGGUCUGAUAGGAAGACCAGCCACACUGGGACUGAGACACGGACAAGACUCCUACGGGAGGCAGCAGUGGGGAAUAGUGCGCAAUGGGGGCAACCUGACGCAGCCAUGCCGCGGGAAUGAAGAAGGCCUUCGGGUUGUAAAGUUCUGUCGGUAGCGAGGCGUUAACUACAGAAGAAGCACCGGCUAACUCCGUGCCAGCAGCCGCGGUAAUUC